AUUGAACGCUGGCGGCAGGCCUAACACAUGCAAGUCGAACGGUAACAGGAAACAGCUUGCUGUUUCGCUGACGAGUGGCGGACGGGUGAGUAAUGUCUGGGAAACUGCCUGAUGGAGGGGGAUAACUACUGGAAACGGUAGCUAAUACCGCAUAACGUCGCAAGACCAAAGAGGGGGACCUUCGGGCCUCUUGCCAUCGGAUGUGCCCAGAUGGGAGUAGCUAGUAGGUGGGGUAACGGCUCACCUAGGCGACGAUCCCUAGCUGGUCUGAGAGAAUGACCAGCCACACUGGAACUGAGACGCGGUCCAGACUCCUACGGGAGGCAGCAGUGGGGAAUAUUGAACAAUGUGCGCAAGCCUGAUCCAGCCAUGCCGCGUGUAUGAAGAAGGCCUUCGGGUUGUAAAGUACUUUCAGCGGGGAGGAAGGGAGUAAAGUUAAUACCUUUGCUCAUUGACGUUACCCGCAGAAGAAGCACCGGCUAACUCCGUGCCAGCCGCCGCCGUAA
This 506-nucleotide ribosomal RNA is filed under the name uncultured bacterium. RNAcentral describes it as "partial 16S ribosomal RNA". It matches the Rfam family "Bacterial small subunit ribosomal RNA", at positions 30 to 523 of the family's 1533-position model. The record is from RNAcentral.